Molecule: long non-coding RNA, 2313 nt
Organism: Osmerus eperlanus (European smelt)
Lineage: Eukaryota; Metazoa; Chordata; Actinopteri; Osmeriformes; Osmeridae
Exons: 3
Source: RefSeq, a predicted model, not a curated record
GUUUGAAGGGAGUUGGACAAGACUAGGCAAUUGAGAACCAGAGAGGACGCGAGAGACUGGGAAACUAGGAAACUGGAAAGUGAAACUGGGGCGGCGUCAUAUUUUUAUUCGAGAAGUUACAUUCUAGUACGUAAUAGGUUAUAAAGGAGAGAUAGUUCACUGUUUCAUUAGCGCAUAUUCCUGCAUAGAAAAGCAUAAUAUAGACUCGUUUCGUCGCGAGGCACCGGGACUGUCAGACUUGAAGGAUAGUUAAGGUGUGGCUGUCUUUGAAAUGUUUUUUUUAUUACUAUCCUCUCGCUUUGUCAGCAUUAUAAGGAUCUUAAAACCUUACAAAAUUCUCGAUUUCAAAGGGGCGGGUGAUAAUGCAUGUCGUUUUUUAACCUGACCUUUUCGUUAAGAUGACAUGAAUCAUAGUUUGUCAAGACCACUUCGAAAUGCGUAGUGCCCACUUAAUUAUAAACACCCAAACGUUUGUUUUGACAAUUAGUUCAUUUAAAAGUAUGUUGGCGUAGGCUAUUUAAUGAAAUGGUGGUUGCAACUUUAUAGUAGGAAAACCAGAUGAAUAGAAAGUCAACGGGGCCAUGGGCGUGGAGACGGAGGCUGGACAGUAGCCUAAUGUUCGGUACCGUAGAGACGAUAGUCGUAUAGUCUGUAGAGCAUUUAUCGCCUGAUCGAUAAGCAAACAAAAUUAUGACAAAUUGAUUAACCUGAUGCUACAUUCUAAGUUAAAACGAGGGAACAGAAGAUUGUCUUUACAACAUAAAGUAAGUUCAUAGGCCUAUAGACAAAUUUAGAAAACGUAGAAUUACCCAAUUUAAGGAUAAACUUCACUGAUAUCAAAAUCUACAUAAUUAGGCUACAUAAUUCAACAGUGGAUGUAAGGAUGCGACUUUCGACCGACUGGUUAUUUUAUUGAAAUGAAAUAUUCUUAGUCUAGGCAAUUAAAUAGUUAAAUUAGAGUGUCGGUCUUUCGCUGACUAUUUUAGACUUUUACGCUAGUCCAUAGUUUGCGAUUUUAACGAGUUUAGGGCCAAUCUUUCAUCUUGUCUGUAGACGUUUUUCAUUCUUAGGUUGUUCACUUAGAUUUGUUUUAGGAACUAUUCUCGUGUAAUCGUAGCCACCUUGUCGACGUUAACUAGGAUUUCACACGUAGCCUAGCUAACAAUCAUUUAAACAAUCUAGGUUUUGUGUAUUGUCAAUGUAAACUUUAGGCUAUUAACUCUAUAGGCUAUGUAAUAUAAACGUCUAUUAAAAGCGAAGGCGAAAGAUGACAUUAGGCUAUUAUCAUUUCUAGCUUAGGGUUCGCUGUAUCUUACUGAUUUUGCAACACUAAAAUCCUCUUGUUUAUAUAUUCUAGUUUGACCAAAUGUUUGACCAAAAUGAAAGAAUUGAACGCAAAUUCCAUGAAGCCGCACCCAUAAAGCGCAACAUGGAUGAUGCACGGUUUUCCUGUAGGGCCUAAAUGCUUCCACUCUUUUCGCGUCUUGAAGUUUUCAUGUUUAAAGUCGGCCUAAACAAUUGCACAACCAGUGUCAAGUUGGCAACAGGUCAUUAGCAAGAUCGAAGCAAGCUCCAAUGUUUCAUCGAUGUCUCCUCUGAUAAAGAUAUUAGCCAGGAUGGACAUGUCACAUGCGGAGGCCUGGUGUUGUGAUCCUGCCUCGGACCGAAGAAGAAGAGGGCUUGUGUGCGUGCGCCCACACUGUGCUCACUGGCUGACCCGCAGGAGUUCUUCACUGGCAAGCUUUAUGUCCUUGUGUACCAACUAAAGCUGCCAGCUGAAGAACUGUUGUGGUUGGCUCUUUCCUGCUCUUGCACCCUACACUGAAGAAGACUCCUCCCACCUAAAGGAGGCGUGCAUGUUGGCAUCUGUGGUCCUGUGCUUAUGUGAUGGAGUCCAUACCAAGGGGAUGGUCACUUCCCUAUGCAGGUGCCUUCCUGUUCACAUUGAACAUGUGAAAUGGAACCAAAUCCAACUGGAGCUGAAAUAUAAUGUCGGUACAACAGCAGGGCUUAGUGAGCUCGUCGACACACAUGCUCACACAGGUGCCUGAGAGCUGUGGCUGCAUAAGGGCUGACACGUUUUGAUUGGGUCUGAAUUGUGUUGCUUAAAAGUUUACUAUAUUUUAUUUUGUGCUGUAUUGCACGUAAUGUGUGCGAGCAGCACAUGAUAUAGGCAUUGGCCAGACACAACUUUUGGAUUGUCCUCUCGUCUGUUAGUGAGGUACCUGAUAUCUGUGGCCGUGUAAGGGCCGAUACAUUUUGUAUUCCGUGUCUCUUUGCAUAGAAAAAAAUAAAUCACUAAGCAAACCUUCA